AGACGUCUACAUUAGAUACCCGCGUAGUCCAGGGUGUAAACGCUGCAGACUUGGUGUUGGAGGCCCUUUGGGGCAUUCAGUGCCGGAGAGAAGUUGUUAAGUCUGCUACUUGGGAGUACGUCCGCAAGGAUGAAACUUAAAGGAAUUGGCGGGGAGCACCGCAACGGGAGGAGCGUGCGGUUUAAUUGGAUUCAACACCGUAAACUCACCAGGGAAGACUGUUACAUGAAGGCCGAGAUGAAGACUCUGCUAGAUUUUCAG
Molecule: ribosomal RNA, 261 nt
Filed under: uncultured archaeon
Lineage: Archaea
Description: partial 16S ribosomal RNA
Rfam family: Archaeal small subunit ribosomal RNA
Source: RNAcentral